Molecule: long non-coding RNA, 509 nt
Organism: Perca fluviatilis (European perch)
Lineage: Eukaryota; Metazoa; Chordata; Actinopteri; Perciformes; Percidae
Exons: 4
Source: RefSeq, a predicted model, not a curated record
GUAUUUUUCGGUUAGUUGUCUUGACAUCGGACCAGCUUAUUUUCUCCUCUAAACGACACUUUGGUUCCUGGGGCAGGGAGGCGAGUCUGAAAGAAGAAAAAUAGCCCUCAGCCUCAGCAGCAUCAGCCUCCUCCUCAACACACACAGGAGCAGCUAGACCCUAUUGGGGAGCAGCCUCCGUUCAUGCUGCUGGACCAGCAGGAAAUGGAGCAAGAGUCAGGAACAAACCUGAAAAACCUCUUCCGGGGCAGUGGACGUAGCCCUGGAAUAAGGAACCUGAAAUUCCCUCCUUCAAUUGAAGACCUCCAGGACUACCAGCGGUACCAUGAGGGCAGCUGCCCCCCUUCCAAGCAGCUGGAAAAUGCACAGUCCAAAGUGUCGAGGGUCAGGUCUUUUAUAUUUUACCUGGCUAAGGGACAGACUGUAUUGUUCAGUUUGCUAUUUUAAGGAACAUUGAUGGCAUCCAAAAAUACACAGCCCACCUCCAGUCCCCAGGCAAGACCAUCACA